Long non-coding RNA from Lepidothrix coronata (blue-crowned manakin), 1969 nucleotides. RefSeq lists it as uncharacterized. The transcript has 3 exons. Lineage: Eukaryota; Metazoa; Chordata; Aves; Passeriformes; Pipridae. The record is from RefSeq and is a predicted model, not a curated record.
AUUAUGUCAGGGAGUGUGAGCUCAGGAGUCUGAGAAACCUCUGUGGUUGAUCCACAGGGUUUGGAGAAGGUGCUCCAGGCAGAAAGUUCAGUGAAUGCUGAGAGUUGAUUGGUCUCUGGACAACUGGGAGCAGCUCUGGACUAUCCACCACCACGGAGCCCCCUGAGGUCAAGAGCCAGGAUGAGAACAAAGACACUCCUUGGUGCUGAUAACGACUUUUUGUGGUUGAAACUGGAUCCUUGAUGUGCAGUUGUUUUAUGUGGCUCCAUCUCCUCCUGUUAUCAGCUGGGAGCAAGUGCUGGAGUUUCUCUCCUGGUGGAUGGAGGCUGACUCCAGAUGGGGCUCACUCCCACUUGUACAGAGGGCUACAAAAGCUUCUCCAGCAGUCUGACGCGGCCAAAGGCAUCUGCUGACUCAGGCCCAGCAUCUCUGGCAAUUUGGGGGAGUUCUGUGUCUCCAGCCAAGUAUCGAGAAGAGACAGAGGGUCAUUCACUGGUGAAAGAGGCACUGGGAAGUACUGAGGUCAGCUACCAAACCAGAGUGAAAUUCCAGCUUUAGUGCAGUAUGAAAUCAGAAAACUCUUCAACGGAGAGGUGUUCCUGCAUCUCUGGAUUUCCAGGUUUCAUAUCCUGGAUACUUUAUGGUGUGUGCAAAGAGCAAACAACAGCACCAGCUGAGGUUUACCUUGCAGGGGGAAGUGCAUAGUCAGAGCCAAGGUAGAGUGAGUGAGAGCAACGUGACUUUUACAAAUCCACUCAUUUUUGCAUUCUCAGAGGUUUGGUUUGGGAUCAUUCCUGUUCGUCCCAUGCCCCUCCUGUAGAGACACUCAGAUAGGAGAGCUUUUGCACCAUCUGGAGGAAGGAGCUAUUUGGUUUAUACAUCCAGAUUCUCUUCUGUGCAGAUGAGCUCAGUGCAGGGGUGCUGACCAUGGCAAAUCCAAUACCCACCUCUUUGUGCCACGUUUGCACCAACCCCAUUAGAGCUGAUCCAUGUCUGGAGAGAAAGUCACCCAAAGCAACUUAAGCCAGUCCAGGCCAAUUAAGAGUCACUGGAGAGCUGGUUCCCCUCAGUCCAGACUUUGGAAAGAUGGCUGGGGUUGAUUAGGAAUUUUUGGUAACCAGAGGGCAAAAUUUUUUAUCACAACAUUUAAGUCUCUUUCCUUUCUACUCCCACUUUUGAAUAAUUCACAGUUGAAAACUCAUUUCACUUGGUCUUUCAAACAUGAAAGUUGGCCUUUGAUCUAGAACUAAGCACAGAAAGCUUUGACCCGAGAGGAAUGUAUUUAUUGAAGCUAGAAACAAUAGAAACAAGGGUUUAAACUGAGUACCAACCCUGCAUUUUCAGAGGCUACUGCCUGAGUUUGCUGAGGUUGUGUAUAACACUUCAGCCAAUGGAUAAAAUAUAAAAUAUUGUAUUUAUUGGAGCUAUUUCUUCUGUGCAGUUCUUCACCAAAUCAAGACUUAGGUAUUCCAACAGUUUUACGUUAUUAACACAUUUUGAGCCCCUUUUCUCCCCUUGCCAGGGGGAGUUCUGUACCUGGUAGAGAAGUGUCCCAGGACACAGAGAGCCAAGGACUGAAACCGAGAAACUUUCCAGCCCCUGCAUUCUAUCAUUAGUACCUGAGAGCUCUUCCCCAGGAGACAGGGGUUCCUAUACAGAAGAAAGCUUCAAGGGAAAUGUUUGAGACAGAUCAUCAUUAAAUCCACUGUGAUUCAGUGCUGUGAAUGUACAAAUUCAAUGUGGCUCAACCACUCUUUCAUUCCAGAGCCCCAGUCAGGUUACUUUACUUCUGGGUUCCUUCCAGCAUUGAAAAGAAACCAAGGGACAUUUUCAACCUUCAGAGAAGGAUAUGAAACUGUACCAAGUUUUUUCCAAUACUGCCCUAGUAAUUCUUACAUCUUCAGAUGCCUAAAGGAGAUCUGUACCUUUGGUGUCAUCCUAUAAAGACACUACUGUCGGAGAUUGCAAC